CUUGCUUCUCUUGAGAGCGGCGGACGGGUGAGUAAUGCCUAGGAAUCUGCCUGGUAGUGGGGGAUAACGUUCGGAAACGGACGCUAAUACCGCAUACGUCCUACGGGAGAAAGCAGGGGACCUUCGGGCCUUGCGCUAUCAGAUGAGCCUAGGUCGGAUUAGCUAGUUGGUGGGGUAAUGGCUCACCAAGGCGACGAUCCGUAACUGGUCUGAGAGGAUGAUCAGUCACACUGGAACUGAGACACGGUCCAGACUCCUACGGGAGGCAGCAGUGGGGAAUAUUGGACAAUGGGCGAAAGCCUGAUCCAGCCAGGCGGCGUGUGUGAAGAAGGUCUUCGGAUUGUAAAGCACUUUAAGUUGGGAGGAAGGGUUGUAGAUUAAUACUCUGCAAUUUUGACGUUACCGACAGAAUAAGCACCGGCUAACUCUGUGCCAGCAGCCGCGGUAAUACAGAGGGUGCAAGCGUUAAUCGGAAUUACUGGGCGUAAAGCGCGCGUAGGUGGUUUGUUAAGUUGGAUGUGAAAUCCCCGGGCUCAACCUGGGAACUGCAUUCAAAACUGACUGACUAGAGUAUGGUAGAGGGUGGUGGAAUUUCCUGUGUAGCGGUGAAAUGCGUAGAUAUAGGAAGGAACACCAGUGGCGAAGGCGACCACCUGGACUAAUACUGACACUGAGUGCGAAAGCGUGGGGAGCAAACAGGAUUAGAUACCCUGGUAGUCCACGCCGUAACGAUGUCAACUAGCCGUUGGAAGCCUUGAGCUUUU
Molecule: ribosomal RNA, 764 nt
Filed under: uncultured bacterium
Lineage: Bacteria
Description: bacterial SSU rRNA
Rfam family: Bacterial small subunit ribosomal RNA
Source: RNAcentral